GGAACGCUAGCGGUAUGCUUAACACAUGCAAGUCGGAUGGGAUCUUUUAGACACCCAUGGCAGACGGCUGAGUAACGCGUGGGAAUUUGCCCUUUGGUCGAGCAUAACCUGUCGAAAGAUAGGAUAAUUCUCGAUAGUCUCUUCGGAGUAAAAAUUUAUUGCCAAAGGAGAAGCCCGCGUUCGAUUAGCUUGUUGGUGAGGUAAUGGCUCACCAAGGCCUUGAUCGAUAGCUGGUCUGAGAGGAUGAUCAGCCAGACUGGGACUGAGACACGGCCCAGACUCCUACGGGAGGCAGCAGUGAGGAAUAUUGCACAAUGGGCGAAAGCCUGAUGCAGCAAUACCGCGUGCAGGAAGAAGGCCUUCGGGUUGUAAACUGCUUUUGUUUGUGAAGAUUAUGACGUUAACAAACGAAUAAGAACUUGCUAACUACGUGCCAGCAGCAGCGGUAAUACGUAGAGUUCAAGCGUUAUCCGGAUUUAUUGGGCGUAAAGCGCUCGCAGGCGGAUUGGUAAGUCGAAUAUUAAAUCCUCUAGCUCAACUAGAGGCAAGUGUUCGAAACUGCCUAUCUAGAGGUUGGUAGAGGCAAAUGGAAUUCUCGGUGUAGGGGUAAUAUCCGUAGAUAUCGAGAAGAACACCAAAGGCGAAGGCAAUUUGCUGGGCCACACCUGACGCUCAGGAGCGAAAGCGUGGGGAGCGAACGGGAUUAGAUACCCCGGUAGUCCACGCCGUAAACGAUGGAUACUAGGCAUUGGAGGCAUCGGUCUCCUCAGCGCCGAAGCUAACGCGUUGAGUAUCC
Molecule: ribosomal RNA, 796 nt
Filed under: uncultured Microgenomates group bacterium
Lineage: Bacteria
Description: bacterial SSU rRNA
Rfam family: Bacterial small subunit ribosomal RNA
Source: RNAcentral